CCGGGCUAGCUGACGUGCUGUUGCUGCUGCCUGUCGGCCCGCUACUCCGCCUCGGCACGCCGCCGACACCGGCAGGAUCUGCGUCGAGUUUGAGGGUAGGGCUGGUCCUCAUCCUCCUCCUCCUUUCACCUUCCCUUGGUCACAGAGUUCGGUUGGCGGCUCCAACCAUGCGGCCCAAGGUGAAUUGGAAAUCACACCGACGCCUCAUACGUCAGCUCAGCAAAGCGCGAACAUGGGGAACCAACGCGCGUUGUUCCAGGAUGUGCAACAUGAUGCCCCUUGAUCAUCACCGGCGUGGCCAACAUGUAAAGCCCUUGAUCAUCAUGGUUUUCAUGUGUUUGCGGUGGACAUGUGGCUAGCUUUGCCUUAUCUAUAUGGUGUUUAUGUACUUUGCACUAUGGAUAUGUAACCGCUAUGGACUAUAUGACUUCUUUGAACAUUUGAUGGACUAUGUGACUUGUAUGGACAUUUGAUGAACUAUGUGACUUCUAUGGACAUUUGAUGAUCUAUUUUGUUGUUAUUUAUGUGGUUAUGAUGA
Lolium rigidum is the source of this 538-nucleotide long non-coding RNA. RefSeq lists it as uncharacterized. NCBI's taxonomy places the organism in Eukaryota, Viridiplantae, Streptophyta, Magnoliopsida, Poales, Poaceae. The transcript is spliced from 4 exons. The record is from RefSeq and is a predicted model, not a curated record.